GGGGUUGUAGCUCAGUGGUAGAGAGCUUGUCUCAUAUAUAUGAGGCCCUGGGUUCAAUCCUCAGCACCACA
Molecule: transfer RNA, 71 nt
Filed under: Marmota monax (woodchuck)
Lineage: Eukaryota; Metazoa; Chordata; Mammalia; Rodentia; Sciuridae
Description: tRNA.Met
Rfam family: tRNA
About the family: Transfer RNA (tRNA) molecules are approximately 80 nucleotides in length. Their secondary structure includes four short double-helical elements and three loops (D, anti-codon, and T loops).
Source: RNAcentral